RNAcentral lists this ribosomal RNA (878 nucleotides) under uncultured bacterium. Its description in RNAcentral is "bacterial SSU rRNA". It matches the Rfam family "Bacterial small subunit ribosomal RNA", at positions 44 to 916 of the family's 1533-position model. The record is from RNAcentral.
GCGCAGCUACCAUGCAGUCGAGCGGAGCGAGGGUGCUUGCACCUUAGCUUAGCGGCGGACGGGUGAGUAAUGCUUAGGAAUCUGCCUAUUAGUGGGGGACAACAUUCCGAAAGGGAUGCUAAUACCGCAUACGCCCUAAGGGGGAAAGCAGGGGAUCUUCGGACCUUGCGCUAAUAGAUGAGCCUAAGUCGGAUUAGCUAGUUGGUGGGGUAAAGGCCUACCAAGGCGACGAUCUGUAGCGGGUCUGAGAGGAUGAUCCGCCACACUGGGACUGAGACACGGCCCAGACUCCUACGGGAGGCAGCAGUGGGGAAUAUUGGACAAUGGGCGGAAGCCUGAUCCAGCCAUGCCGCGUGUGUGAAGAAGGCCUUUUGGUUGUAAAGCACUUUAAGCGAGGAGGAGGCUACUAGUAUUAAUACUACUGGAUAGUGGACGUUACUCGCAGAAUAAGCACCGGCUAACUCUGUGCCAGCAGCCGCGGUAAUACAGAGGGUGCGAGCGUUAAUCGGAUUUACUGGGCGUAAAGCGUGCGUAGGCGGCUUUUUAAGUCGGAUGUGAAAUCCCCGAGCUUAACUUGGGAAUUGCAUUCGAUACUGGGAAGCUAGAGUAUGGGAGAGGAUGGUAGAAUUCCAGGUGUAGCGGUGAAAUGCGUAGAGAUCUGGAGGAAUACCGAUGGCGAAGGCAGCCAUCUGGCCUAAUACUGACGCUGAGGUACGAAAGCAUGGGGAGCAAACAGGAUUAGACACCCUGGUAGUCCAUGCCGUAAACGAUGUCUACUAGCCGUUGGGGCCUUUGAGGCUUUAGUGGCGCAGCUAACGCGAUAAGUAGACCGCCCUGGGGAGUACGGUCGCAAGACUAAAACUCAAAGGAAUUGACGG